This 439-nucleotide ribosomal RNA is filed under the name uncultured bacterium. RNAcentral's name for it is "bacterial SSU rRNA". It matches the Rfam family "Bacterial small subunit ribosomal RNA", at positions 340 to 773 of the family's 1533-position model. The record is from RNAcentral.
UACGGAAGGCAGCAAUGGGGAAUAUUGCACAAUGGGCGCAAGCCUGAUGCAGCCAUGCCGCGUGUAUGAAGAAGGCCUUCGGGUUGUAAAGUACUUUCAGUCGUGAGGAAGGUGUUAAGGUUAAUAACCUUAGCAAUUGACGUUAGCGACAGAAGAAGCACCGGCUAACUCCGUGCCAGCAGCCGCGGUAAUACGGAGGGUGCGAGCGUUAAUCGGAAUUACUGGGCGUAAAGGGCACGCAGGCGGUUAAUUAAGUUGGAUGUGAAAUCCCCGGGCUUAACCUGGGAAUGGCAUUCAAGACUGGUUAGCUAGAGUCUUGUAGAGGGGGUAGAAUUCCAUGUGUAGCGGUGAAAUGCGUAGAGAUGUGGAGGAAUACCGGUGGCGAAGGCGGCCCCUGGACAAAGACUGACGCUCAUGUGCGAAAGCGUGGGGAGCAAAC